Molecule: ribosomal RNA, 435 nt
Filed under: uncultured bacterium
Lineage: Bacteria
Description: bacterial SSU rRNA
Rfam family: Bacterial small subunit ribosomal RNA
Source: RNAcentral
GACGAACGCUGGCGGCGUGCCUAACACAUGCAAGUCGAGCGAAUGAAGUUCCUUCGGGGACGGAUUUAGCGGCGGACGGGUGAGUAACACGUGGGCAACCUGCCUCAUAGAGGGGAAUAGCCUUCCGAAAGGGAGAUUAAUACCGCAUAAGAUUGUAGUACCGCAUGAUACAGCAAUUAAAGGAGCAAUCCGCUAUGAGAUGGGCCCGCGGCGCAUUAGCUAGUUGGUGAGGUAACGGCUCACCAAGGCGACGAUGCGUAGCCGACCUGAGAGGGUGAUCGGCCACAUUGGGACUGAGACACGGCCCAGACUCCUACGGGAGGCAGCAGUGGGAAAUAUUGCACAAUGGGGGAAACCCUGAUGCAGCAACGCCGCGUGAGUGAUGACGGCCUUCGGGUUGUAAAGCUCUGUCUUCAGGGACGAUAAUGACGGUAC